UGAGCAAUCUGCCCUUCUCAUCGGAAUAAGCGUUGGAAACGACGUCUAAUGCCGAAUACGACCUCCUUUCGCAUGAUCGGAGGUGGAAAGCUCCGGCGGAGAAGGAUGAGCUCGCGGCCUAUCAGCUAGUUGGUGUGGGUAAUGGCCCACAAGGCGACGACGGGUAGCCGGCCUGAGAGGGUGACCGGCCACACGUGGGACUGAGACACGGCCAGACUCCUACGGGAGCA
This 230-nucleotide ribosomal RNA is filed under the name uncultured bacterium. RNAcentral's name for it is "partial 16S ribosomal RNA". It matches the Rfam family "Bacterial small subunit ribosomal RNA", at positions 118 to 347 of the family's 1533-position model. The record is from RNAcentral.